AGAGCGAACGCUGGCGGCAGGCCUAACACAUGCAAGUCGAGCGCCCGUAGCAAUACGGGAGCGGCAGACGGGAUAGUAACACGUGGGAACGCGCCCUUCGGUUCGGAAUAACUCAGGGAAACUUGAGCUAAUACCGGAUACGCCCUUACGGGGAAAGAUUUAUCGCCGAAAGAUCGGCCCGCGUCUGAUUAGCUAGUUGGUGAGGUAACGGCUCACCAAGGCGACGAUCAGUAGCUGGUCUGAGAGGAUGAUCAGCCACAUUGGGACUGAGACACGGCCCAAACUCCUACGGGAGGCAGCAGUGGGGAAUAUUGGACAAUGGGCGCAAGCCUGAUCCAGCCAUGCCGCGUGAGUGAUGAAGGCCCUAGGGUUGUAAAGCUCUUUUGUGCGGGAAGAUAAUGACGGUACCGCAAGAAUAAGCCCGGCUAACUUCGUGCCAGCAGCCGC
RNAcentral lists this ribosomal RNA (447 nucleotides) under uncultured bacterium. Its description in RNAcentral is "SSU rRNA". It matches the Rfam family "Bacterial small subunit ribosomal RNA", at positions 26 to 518 of the family's 1533-position model. The record is from RNAcentral.